AAACAUGGUCUGGUGAAAUUUAUAUUAGAUCUAGCCUGCUCAAUGAAUUAUUAAUUUAAAUAGCCGCAGUAUACUGACUGUGCGAAGGUAGCAUAAUCAUUUGUCUUUUAAUUGAAGGCUUGUAUGAAUGGUUGGAUGAAGGGGUAACUUUCUUUAUAUAAUUAUAAUCUAAUUUAACUUUUGUGUUAAAAGGCUUAAAUAUUUAAAUGGGACGAGAAGACCCUAUAGAAUUUUAUUUUUUAUUAAUAAUUUAAUUUUUUGGUUAAUUUAUUAUUUAUUAUGUUGAAAAUUUUGUUGGGGUGACAGUAAGAUUUUUUUAACUCUUAUAAUAUAUUAUUUACAAAUUAGUAUUUUACAGAUCCUUUAUUAAGGAUAACUAGAUUAAAUUACYUUAGGGAUAACAGCGUAAUUUUAUUGGAGAGUUCAUAUUGAUAAUGAAGUUUGCGACCUCGAUGUUGGAUUAAAAUUAGAGUUAAGUGCAGAAGCUAA
This 489-nucleotide ribosomal RNA is filed under the name Mormidea v-luteum. RNAcentral describes it as "partial 16S ribosomal RNA". Lineage: Eukaryota; Metazoa; Arthropoda; Insecta; Hemiptera; Pentatomidae. The record is from RNAcentral.